This 62-nucleotide non-coding RNA is filed under the name chicken gut metagenome. RNAcentral describes it as "Fluoride riboswitch". It matches the Rfam family "Fluoride riboswitch aptamer (crcB RNA motif)", at positions 10 to 63 of the family's 64-position model. The record is from RNAcentral.
GGGGAAUGAAGUUCUCCCCCGGUAAUACCGAAACCGCUAUAUGCUGAUGACUUCUGCUUUUA